RNAcentral lists this long non-coding RNA (2594 nucleotides) under Homo sapiens (human). RNAcentral describes it as "non-protein coding lnc-WNT5A-3:3". The record is from RNAcentral. Lineage: Eukaryota; Metazoa; Chordata; Mammalia; Primates; Hominidae.
GAGAAGCUGAGCACCCAUGCUGGAACUCACCAUAUAGAUGCCUCACUGCUUUUCAUUUCUAAGUUUCUCCUCCAUGUCUUUUUCCUCUUGCCAGUGUUUAGAUAAAAUUAUUUCUAUUUGAUACAUUUUUCUUCACUCUUGUCCUUAAUGGGUCAAGUCUCAUGUGGCUUCAUAGCCCUGACAGACAGUAGUAUUGCUAUUUUGGAGUCAAGGUCUCGUUCUGUCGGCCAAGCUGGAGUGCAGUGGCACCAUCAGGGCUCACUGCAGCCUUGACCUCCGAGGCUCAAGGAAUCCUCCCACCUCAGCCUCAGCCUUCCGGAUAGUUGGUACUACAGAUGAUCCAGCUCUGUCGGAGGCACGUAGGCACAGCCAAAUCUCAUGCUGUACAUUGAUCACCUGUCCAACCUUUGCCUAGAGUGGGAGCCCCCAGUUCCUUCGAGAUCCAACAUUACCUGUCUGUAAAGAAGAAGAGGAGGAGGGAGACAGCGGGGAGGAUCCGGUGGCAGUUUAACACCAGAGCAGGUCCAAUGUUUACUUUUACCCUUUUGGAGCUAUUAGAAGGGCUGAAUAAAGGGAACAUGCAGCUCUGCAGCAAUAUUCUGAUAAUGUAUUGCAGUGCGGCUCACAUCACUGUCCACCACCACCUGGAGCGGCUCAUCAGAACUGAAGGGGAGUUUUCACUUACCUUAUUGAGCGUGAUUCUGUUCUACUUGAUAUUUCCUUCACCACCUCAUGUCAUUUCUCAUGGAUUUGGUUAUGAUGGAAAGGAAGAAUGCAGAGGAGGAGAAAAGUGACAGAUCCUCCAUUUUUGUUGGGAUGCGGGCAUUUUGAAUGUGAUCAUCUUUGCUGAAUGUCAUUAUUUGAUAACAUUUUGUUUAUGUUACUUAAACAUCAUUGGAUAAAUUUGAACUCCAUGGGAUUUUAUCUGUGGAUUCAGCUUCUGUUGGACAACUAGCCUCAUCUCCAGUAUCCUGCUGGUUCACUCUAAUUGGUCAUUCCUAAUGCAUUAGAUUAUCAAAAAGUAUAAAUUCGCUGUGAGUGAGUGGUGUUGGCAGUGUUUGUAUACCAUGAUGCAUGGAGUGUUUGACGAAGAAACAAAAAACACCAAAAAUUGCGAGCCUUUACCCUCCUCUAUUUCUUUAAUCUGUUGUUUGAAGAACCGCAUUUUGAGGGUGUAACCAGUAGUCACCUCUGGGCCAGGUUGGAAAAGAAAUCAAUUUUUUAAACCACUAAUGCUUGCCAAGAAAUCGCCUUAUGAGAACAUGGUGUGUGUCUCUGACAAUGCGUGGCACAUCUAAAUUGAUCAUUCAUAAUUUUAUCUACCCAGUCAUGUACUGGAGAGUGGCAAAAGUCUGAGGCACCUGCAUAUCUCUAGUCCCUGUGUUCUGCACAUCCCCACGGUGGGGACGCCACCAAGCCUCAGACUCUUACCAUCCCGGUGCAUGCAGGUCUCCAUGAAGAAGCUGGGACUCAUUCACAUUUCAAGAUCCAAAUGCUGUGCAAACAGUGUAAGCUUAGAUUUUCUGUAAAUGAAGGGUCAUUUCUCUUUUUUUUUUUUUUUAAAGAAAAUGUGUCUGCAACAUGGAUUCCAAAGCAUUUUCAGCAUCAAACAUGAAAACAUUGAUGAAUGAGGAACAAUCACAAAAGCUGUGUCUCUGUAUAUAGCUCUACACAACAUGUAUGUGGAUACAGUCAUUAUUUAAAGCACAUGCCAGGGAAAAAGACCAAAUUUUGAGGUCUUUUACAUACAGUGAUAUGGUACUAAGGAGAAUUAAACUCCUACUGCUUCCUCUGAAUAUUAAGAAACAAUUUAAAUUGUUAUAACUUCAUAAAACUCAUGACUGAGUCUGGCAAACAUGUGCAACUCUUGUAUUGCUCCAUUUUCUUGUCAAUGGAAGAAACCCUUCCACGUGUAUGCAAGUGGGAGAUGAAAACCUGCAUUUUUAAAGGACAAACAGUGAAUUUAAGCAUGAGUGGCCUUAAUAAAUAUAGUUGUCUUUCUUUGCUGCUGUGGAAAGGAUUCUAAACAGAUGUCCCUGAAGUCUUGCAUUGAAUUUAGUCAUUAUUAUUACUUUUUAAAAUGUUGGUGCAAUUAACUCUGGACCUCUCUUGUGAGCCAUAGAGAUAUUUAAAAGACAAACACCUUAUUUGUCGGGGAAGAUGAAACCGUCCCUGAGUUGCACCAUUCUUUCUUGGUGCAUUCGCGGUUAAGAUACUCAAGCAGGUUUCUUGCUUCUGGCUUUGUUCUUGUCAUCAGUAAGUAUAACAAACUAUGUAAUGCUUAUGUGUUGCAUAAACAAUCCAAAUGCAUUCAUGUUUUAAAAGUUUGUCCUUUAACUAUCAGAGGGAUCUAGGUCUUGGUUAGAGAAGUAAGCAGAGUUCUUUGCAAGCUUAUUUAGCACAUUUUGACACAAUGUUGCACUGAAAACCCAGGCCACAAAUGUGUCCCAGUGAACAGUUUGGAUGUCCUCAAAGAAGUGGUUCUCACUGCCUCCUACAACCAGGUCUUGACCUGAACUCUGCAACUGAAUACUUGAAGUAGGAAGUAGGAAAUCCAGUAGGGAAAAUAGGGUCCUUGAAACAGAAAAAAAAAA